GUCUAUGGCCAUGCCACCCUGAACAAGCCCAAUCCUGUCUGGUCUCGGAAGCUGACCGGGCCUGGUUAGUACUUGGAUGGGAAACCACCUAGGAAGACCAGGUGCUGUAGGUG
This 113-nucleotide ribosomal RNA is filed under the name Pteropus alecto (black flying fox). The record is from RNAcentral. Lineage: Eukaryota; Metazoa; Chordata; Mammalia; Chiroptera; Pteropodidae.